This 492-nucleotide ribosomal RNA is filed under the name uncultured bacterium. Its description in RNAcentral is "partial 16S ribosomal RNA". It matches the Rfam family "Bacterial small subunit ribosomal RNA", at positions 29 to 507 of the family's 1533-position model. The record is from RNAcentral.
AGUGAACGCUGGCGGUAGGCCUAACACAUGCAAGUCGAACGGCAGCACAGUAAGAGCUUGCUCUUACGGGUGGCGAGUGGCGGACGGGUGAGGAAUACAUCGGAAUCUACUUUUUCGUGGGGGAUAACGUAGGGAAACUUACGCUAAUACCGCAUACGACCUACGGUUGAAAGCAGGGGAUCUUCGGACCUUGCGCGAUUGAAUGAGCCGAUGUCGGAUUAGCUAGUUGGCGGGGUAAAGGCCCACCAAGGCGACGAUCCGUAGCUGGUCUGAGAGGAUGAUCAGCCACACUGGAACUGAGACACGGUCCAGACCCCUACGGGAGGCAGCAGUGGGGAAUAUUGGACAAUGGGCGCAAGCCUGAUCCAGCCAUACCGCGUGGGUGAAGAAGGCCUUCGGGUUGUAAAGCCCUUUUGUUGGGAAAGAAAAGCAGCAGGUUAAUACCCCGCUGUUCUGACGGUACCCAAAGAAUAAGCACCGGCUAACUUCGUG